This 2891-nucleotide ribosomal RNA is filed under the name Vibrio parahaemolyticus. Its description in RNAcentral is "bacterial LSU rRNA". It matches the Rfam family "Bacterial large subunit ribosomal RNA". The record is from RNAcentral. Lineage: Bacteria; Pseudomonadati; Pseudomonadota; Gammaproteobacteria; Vibrionales; Vibrionaceae.
GGUUAAGUGACUAAGCGUACACGGUGGAUGCCUUGGCAGUCAGAGGCGAUGAAAGACGUAGUAACUUGCGAUAAGCCCAGAUUAGGUAGUAACAACCAUUUGAGUCUGGGAUUUCUGAAUGGGGAAACCCACGUGCAUAAGCACGUAUCCUUACCUGAAUACAUAGGGUAAGGAGGCGAACCGGGGGAACUGAAACAUCUAAGUACCCCGAGGAAAAGAAAUCAACCGAGAUUCCGAAAGUAGCGGCGAGCGAAAUUGGACUAGCCCUUAAGCUUUACACGCGUUAGACGAACGGUCUGGAAAGUCCGACGAUACAGGGUGAUAGUCCCGUAGUUGACGACGUGUGUUCAGUGAAAUCGAGUAGGGCGGGACACGUGAUAUCCUGUCUGAAUAUGGGGGGACCAUCCUCCAAGGCUAAAUACUACUGACUGACCGAUAGUGAACCAGUACCGUGAGGGAAAGGCGAAAAGAACCCCUGUGAGGGGAGUGAAAUAGAACCUGAAACCGUGUACGUACAAGCAGUAGGAGCAGGCUUUGUCCUGUGACUGCGUACCUUUUGUAUAAUGGGUCAGCGACUUAUAUUCAGUGGCAAGGUUAACCAUCUAGGGGAGCCGUAGGGAAACCGAGUCUUAACUGGGCGUUCAGUCUCUGGAUAUAGACCCGAAACCAGGUGAUCUAGCCAUGGGCAGGUUGAAGGUUGAGUAACAUCAACUGGAGGACCGAACCGACUAAUGUUGAAAAAUUAGCGGAUGACUUGUGGCUAGGGGUGAAAGGCCAAUCAAACCUGGAGAUAGCUGGUUCUCCCCGAAAGCUAUUUAGGUAGCGCCUCGGACGAAUACUACUGGGGGUAGAGCACUGUUAAGGCUAGGGGGUCAUCCCGACUUACCAACCCUUUGCAAACUCCGAAUACCAGUAAGUACUAUCCGGGAGACACACGGCGGGUGCUAACGUCCGUCGUGGAGAGGGAAACAACCCAGACCGCCAGCUAAGGUCCCAAAUUACUACUAAGUGGGAAACGAUGUGGGAAGGCUCAGACAGCCAGGAUGUUGGCUUAGAAGCAGCCAUCAUUUAAAGAAAGCGUAAUAGCUCACUGGUCGAGUCGGCCUGCGCGGAAGAUGUAACGGGGCUAAGUAGUAAACCGAAGCUGCGGCAAUAUACUUUUGUAUAUUGGGUAGGGGAGCGUUCUGUAAGCGGUUGAAGGUGUGUGGUAACGCAUGCUGGACGUAUCAGAAGUGCGAAUGCUGACAUGAGUAACGAUAAAGGGGGUGAAAAACCUCCUCGCCGGAAGACCAAGGGUUCCUGUCCAACGUUAAUCGGGGCAGGGUAAGUCGACCCCUAAGGCGAGGCCGAAAGGCGUAGUCGAUGGGAAACGGGUUAAUAUUCCCGUACUUCUUACAAUUGCGAUGGGGGGACGGAGAAGGCUAGGUGGGCCUGGCGACGGUUGUCCAGGUUCAAGUGCGUAGGCUUGAGAGUUAGGUAAAUCCGGCUCUUUCUAAGGCUGAGACACGACGUCGAGCACCUACGGGUGUGAAGUCAUUGAUGCCAUGCUUCCAGGAAAAGCCUCUAAGCUUCAGAUUGUAAGGAAUCGUACCCCAAACCGACACAGGUGGUCGGGUAGAGAAUACCAAGGCGCUUGAGAGAACUCGGGUGAAGGAACUAGGCAAAAUGGUACCGUAACUUCGGGAGAAGGUACGCUCUCGACGGUGAAGUCCUUCGCGGAUGGAGCUGACGAGAGUCGCAGAUACCAGGUGGCUGCAACUGUUUAUUAAAAACACAGCACUGUGCAAAAUCGUAAGAUGACGUAUACGGUGUGACGCCUGCCCGGUGCCGGAAGGUUAAUUGAUGGGGUUAGACUUCGGUCGAAGCUCUUGAUCGAAGCCCCGGUAAACGGCGGCCGUAACUAUAACGGUCCUAAGGUAGCGAAAUUCCUUGUCGGGUAAGUUCCGACCUGCACGAAUGGCGUAAUGAUGGCCACGCUGUCUCCACCCGAGACUCAGUGAAAUUGAAAUCGCUGUGAAGAUGCAGUGUACCCGCGGCUAGACGGAAAGACCCCGUGAACCUUUACUACAGCUUGGCACUGAACAUUGACCCUACAUGUGUAGGAUAGGUGGGAGGCUUUGAAGCAGGUACGCCAGUAUCUGUGGAGCCGUCCUUGAAAUACCACCCUUGUAGUGUUGAUGUUCUAACGUCGACCCCUUAUCGGGGUUGCGGACAGUGCCUGGUGGGUAGUUUGACUGGGGCGGUCUCCUCCCAAAGAGUAACGGAGGAGCACGAAGGUGGGCUAAUCACGGUUGGACAUCGUGAGGUUAGUGCAAUGGCAUAAGCCCGCUUGACUGCGAGAAUGACAAUUCGAGCAGGUGCGAAAGCAGGUCAUAGUGAUCCGGUGGUUCUGAAUGGAAGGGCCAUCGCUCAACGGAUAAAAGGUACUCCGGGGAUAACAGGCUGAUACCGCCCAAGAGUUCAUAUCGACGGCGGUGUUUGGCACCUCGAUGUCGGCUCAUCACAUCCUGGGGCUGAAGUCGGUCCCAAGGGUAUGGCUGUUCGCCAUUUAAAGUGGUACGCGAGCUGGGUUUAGAACGUCGUGAGACAGUUCGGUCCCUAUCUGCCGUGGGCGUUGGAAGAUUGAAGGGGGCUGCUCCUAGUACGAGAGGACCGGAGUGGACGAACCUCUGGUGUUCGGGUUGUGUCGCCAGACGCAUUGCCCGGUAGCUAAGUUCGGAAUCGAUAACCGCUGAAAGCAUCUAAGCGGGAAGCGAGCCCUGAGAUGAGUCUUCCCUGAUACUUUAAGUAUCCUAAAGGGUUGUCGGAGACUACGACGUUGAUAGGUCAGGUGUGUAAGUGCUGUGAGGCAUUGAGCUAACUGAUACUAAUUGCCCGUGAGGCUUAACCAU